Molecule: long non-coding RNA, 313 nt
Organism: Juglans microcarpa x Juglans regia
Lineage: Eukaryota; Viridiplantae; Streptophyta; Magnoliopsida; Fagales; Juglandaceae
Exons: 3
Source: RefSeq, a predicted model, not a curated record
CACAAGAGUUGACACGAGUUGGAUUUUGGUCACGCGUAAAGCUCAUCCUCAGAUUCAUUGCCCUAGCAGUCUCCUCCACUGGAUUUCCCUGUUUAGAGAGCUCUUUCAUGCACCAUAGAUAUUGCCUCAUUAGCAACUUGGUUCACUUCAUUGGACACAUACUUUAAAUAUUCUGAGAUAUUUUUUGCUGAACAAAAGUUUACCUUGGCCUGUCUCUGGUAAACAAAAUGCGCAGCUUGAGGCACCAGAGUUGCACAUGGAGAUCCACAAGCAUGGGCUUGGUCAACAGACUAUGGAUGGGCAUCUUUUACUU